This 253-nucleotide ribosomal RNA is filed under the name uncultured bacterium. RNAcentral describes it as "partial 16S ribosomal RNA". It matches the Rfam family "Bacterial small subunit ribosomal RNA", at positions 524 to 776 of the family's 1533-position model. The record is from RNAcentral.
UACAGAGGGUGCAAGCGUUGUUCGGAAUUAUUGGGCGUAAAGCGCGUGUAGGCGGCUUUGCAAGUCGGGUGUGAAAGCCCUCAGCUCAACUGAGGAAGUGCGCCCGAAACUGCAUUGCUUGAGUACCGGAGAGGAUGGCGGAAUUCCCGGAGUAGAGGUGAAAUUCGUAGAUAUCGGGAGGAACACCGGUGGCGAAGGCGGCCAUCUGGACGGAUACUGACGCUGAGGCACGAAGGUCAGGGGAGCAAACGGG